GUAGUCUCGCACAGAUGCAUAUCAAUAAGCGGAGGAAAAGAAACUAACAAGGAUUCCCCUAGUAACGGCGAGUGAAGCGGGAAGAGCUCAAAUUUGAAAUCUUAAAGGGUUUCCCUUUACGAAUUGUAGUUUAAAGAAGUGUUUUCUGUUGAGGUUUUGGUAAAAGUUCUUUGGAAUAGGACAUCAUAGAGGGUGAGAAUCCCGUAUUUGACCUUUACUUUCAACUUUGUGAUACACUUUCAAAGAGUCGGAUUGUUUGGGAAUGCAGUCCAAAAUGGGUGGUAAAUUUCAUCUAAAGCUAAAUAUUGGCGAGAGACCGAUAGCGAACAAGUACCGUGAGGGAAAGAUGAAAAGAACUUUGAAAAGAGAGUUAAACAGUACGUGAAAUUGUCAAAAGGGAAGCGUUUGACACCAGUGUUGUUUUUCUGAAAAUCAAUUAAAGAACUGUUUAUGCUAAGUUGUUUAGACUUUAUCAGCUAUACUGUUUAGUUUUGAGCUUUUCUUUAAUGCACUUUUCAGUUAACAAGUCAACAUCAAUUUCUUUUGCUGUAAAAAAGCUUGAGGAAGGUGGCUUGAGAUUCGUCUUAAGUGUUUAUAGCCUCUUGCCUAUGCAGUCGGAGAGAUUGAGGUCUGCAGCGUAGAUCCUUCGGGGCUAAAUGCAUUUGUGCUAAGUUAUAGCAUUUUAUAGACAACUUGUUGACUAUGAUUUGUCUAGUAGCUUACUCGCUUAUGUUAUUUUACCUACGCUUAGGAUGUUGACGCAUGAGAUAUACGC
Molecule: ribosomal RNA, 775 nt
Filed under: uncultured Neocallimastigales
Lineage: Eukaryota; Fungi; Neocallimastigomycota; Neocallimastigomycetes; Neocallimastigales
Description: partial large subunit ribosomal RNA
Rfam family: Eukaryotic large subunit ribosomal RNA
Source: RNAcentral